Molecule: ribosomal RNA, 253 nt
Filed under: uncultured bacterium
Lineage: Bacteria
Description: partial 16S ribosomal RNA
Rfam family: Bacterial small subunit ribosomal RNA
Source: RNAcentral
UACGUAGGGGGCGAGCGUUGUCCGGAUUUAUUGGGCGUAAAGAGCGUGUAGGCGGCCAAAUAGGUCGGUUGUGAAAACUGGAGGCUUAACCUCCAGAUGUCGACCGAAACCAUCUGGCUAGAGUCCGGAAGAGGAGAAUGGAAUUCCCGGUGUAGCGGUGAAAUGCGCAGAUAUCGGGAAGAACACCCGUGGCGAAGGCGGUUCUCUGGGACGGUACUGACGCUGAGACGCGAAAGCGUGGGGAGCGAACAGG